UGGGGAAUAUUGCACAAUGGGCGCAAGCCUGAUGCAGCCAUGCCGCGUGUGUGAAGAAGGCCUUCGGGUUGUAAAGCACUUUCAGCGGGGAGGAAGGCAUUAAGGUUAAUAACCUUAGUGAUUGACGUUACCCGCAGAAGAAGCACCGGCUAACUCCGUGCCAGCAGCCGCGGUAAUACGGAGGGUGCAAGCGUUAAUCGGAAUUACUGGGCGUAAAGCGCACGCAGGCGGUCUGUCAAGUCGGAUGUGAAAUCCCCGGGCUCAA
RNAcentral lists this ribosomal RNA (265 nucleotides) under uncultured Enterobacteriaceae bacterium. Its description in RNAcentral is "partial 16S ribosomal RNA". It matches the Rfam family "Bacterial small subunit ribosomal RNA", at positions 355 to 612 of the family's 1533-position model. Lineage: Bacteria; Pseudomonadati; Pseudomonadota; Gammaproteobacteria; Enterobacterales; Enterobacteriaceae. The record is from RNAcentral.